RNAcentral lists this unclassified non-coding RNA (214 nucleotides) under Hevea brasiliensis (rubber tree). The record is from RNAcentral. Lineage: Eukaryota; Viridiplantae; Streptophyta; Magnoliopsida; Malpighiales; Euphorbiaceae.
GCCGGGUGCAGCCUCUGUAUACCCUACGACUUGCGCGUUCUUCUUCAUCGUCGCAUGUGAUUUUGUCAAAUGGCAGAUCAGCACAUUUCCAGUUCACAUCAAUCAUGGUGAAUUCGACACUCUUCUUUGGUCCGUAAUCGGAACCUCCUUUCCUUUUUACACUUACUACAGCAAACAAACUCAUCGCGAUGACAAACUCGUCCAUUACAGGAUC